Molecule: ribosomal RNA, 582 nt
Filed under: Triticum aestivum (bread wheat)
Lineage: Eukaryota; Viridiplantae; Streptophyta; Magnoliopsida; Poales; Poaceae
Description: partial small subunit ribosomal RNA
Source: RNAcentral
AUGUUAAGGAAAAAGUUAGAGGAGGAACUUUCAAAGAUUAAUAAAGAGGAGGAGAUAAUGUGGUUACAGAGAUCGAAAGAGAACGAACUAUUAGAGGGUGACGCUUUAACUUCUUAUUUUAUAUCUAAGGCUAGUAGUAGAAAACGGAAAAACAGAAUUACCUCUAUUAAAACUGCUCCUAAUGAUGUGAUCCAGGGGGACAAAGAUUUAUUGCCUUUUGUCACUUCAUUUUACAAAAACCUAUUUGGUCCUGCUGUAGGUAUGAAUAAUAUUUCCCUUGAUAUUAAUUUACCUGUGGUUUUGAGUGAUGCCGAUAGAAAAAAUUUGGAUAGGAAGUUUACUUUAGAGAUUAAGAUUGUUGUUUUUGAUAUGAAAUCUAACAAAGCACCUGGACCUGACAGAUUUCCUAUAGAAUUUUAUCACAAGUGCUGGCACAUAAUUGGAGUGGACAUUUUGGAGCUUUUCAGUGAUUUUUAUGAAGGAAAGUUAGAUUUAGCUAGAUUUAAUUAUGGUGUCCUUGCGUUAAUUCCAAAAUUGCUGAUGCUCAAACUUUACAACAAUAUAGACCAAUCUGUUUGUUGA